UUAAAAUAAAGCGAUUAUAUUGCAUUCAGUUUCGGCCUGAAGUUAGAACUUUUUUCUAUUUUUUAAU
RNAcentral lists this transfer RNA (67 nucleotides) under Rhipicephalus microplus (southern cattle tick). Its description in RNAcentral is "tRNA-Arg". Lineage: Eukaryota; Metazoa; Arthropoda; Arachnida; Ixodida; Ixodidae. The record is from RNAcentral.